RNAcentral lists this ribosomal RNA (259 nucleotides) under Salmonella enterica. RNAcentral describes it as "partial 16S ribosomal RNA". It matches the Rfam family "Bacterial small subunit ribosomal RNA", at positions 558 to 816 of the family's 1533-position model. Lineage: Bacteria; Pseudomonadati; Pseudomonadota; Gammaproteobacteria; Enterobacterales; Enterobacteriaceae. The record is from RNAcentral. RNAcentral also lists the same sequence under 2 other names.
GCGUAAAGCGCACGCAGGCGGUCUGUCAAGUCGGAUGUGAAAUCCCCGGGCUCAACCUGGGAACUGCAUUCGAAACUGGCAGGCUUGAGUCUUGUAGAGGGGGGUAGAAUUCCAGGUGUAGCGGUGAAAUGCGUAGAGAUCUGGAGGAAUACCGGUGGCGAAGGCGGCCCCCUGGACAAAGACUGACGCUCAGGUGCGAAAGCGUGGGGAGCAAACAGGAUUAGAUACCCUGGUAGUCCACGCCGUAAACGAUGUCUAC